Labrus bergylta (ballan wrasse) is the source of this 659-nucleotide non-coding RNA. Lineage: Eukaryota; Metazoa; Chordata; Actinopteri; Labriformes; Labridae. The record is from RefSeq and is a predicted model, not a curated record.
UCAGAGACUGCUACAGGAAGUGACUGAUCAAGCCCUGCCUAUAAAGGAAGCAGGAAGUGGAGGGUUCCUUCUUUAAUCUUCAAGGCUGCACAGAGCAGGCAGCAACAGAAAUUUUUCACUCCUUAUUCAAUGUGGUGAAUAAGUCAAAAGAGUAACUAACAUUCUGACUCACUCCAUACGUGCACCAUACAUGUGGAGGACUGCACACACACCUGUGGAGGAUGUAGAGGACCAUCUCUUUGCUUCCUGCACUGGCAGCGUGAUGACGUCAACUGCAGCCGGACGAGUCGAGUGAGGUGAGGUGGGCUCCCUUCAGGUGGGGCUCCCUUCAGGUGGGGCUCCCUUCAGGUGGGGCUCCCUUCAGCUGAUGAUUCAAUUCAAAGACACAUGGGCAGCCUGACCAAAACAAGAUGAAGAGCUGUUAGCAUGUCUGCUACACCAUGCUGCCUCACUUCCUUCAACAUUUGGUGUUUCCUCGCUCUGAACUCUGAAGAGAAGGAUCUGUGCUGCAGCUGGAAGGAGUUUCUUUAGAUUAAAGUUUACUUGUUAGCUGUUUUAGUUUUCUUUCAGCUAUAGAUUUAGUUUAAAGUCUGUUUUCUUUAAUCUUUAUGUGCAGUUUUCUCUCAACACAAUUUGAUAAUAAAAUUUUAAAGUCUUAA